UUCCUGGUGGUCCAGUGGUUAAGACUCUAGGCUUCCACCUUAGGGGGCACAGGUUUGAUCCCUGGUCUGGGAA
Ovis aries (sheep) is the source of this 73-nucleotide non-coding RNA. The record is from Rfam. Lineage: Eukaryota; Metazoa; Chordata; Mammalia; Artiodactyla; Bovidae.